GACCGGUUGGUGUAGUGGUAUCACGUUUGUCUCACAGCGCCUGGCGCUCACAAAAAGGUCGCCGGUUCGAACCCGGCAUCGGUUCA
Non-coding RNA from Pseudohyphozyma bogoriensis, 86 nucleotides. Lineage: Eukaryota; Fungi; Basidiomycota; Microbotryomycetes; Chrysozymaceae. The record is from the annotation of a GenBank genome assembly.